AUGGAAAUUGUCCAUACAUACGGGAAGCCUGACAUCUUCUUGACCAUGACUUGCAACCCUAAAUGGGAAGAGAUAACGAAUGAGUUGCUUCCUGGUCAGACGGCGCAAGAUCGUCCUGAUAUUGUGGCCCGUGUGUUCUACAGCAAGCCAGAGGCUAUGAAAGACCUGUUGCUCAAGAAAAUGGUCCUGGGUGUUGUUGUUGCUUAUGUGUACGUAGUCGAGUUCCAAAAGAGGGGCCUCCCACACGCACAUUUUUUGUUGAUCAUGGAUUCAACAUACAAGCUUCUCGUCCCGGAGCAGUAUGGCCGACUCAUUUCCGCAGAGCUCCCAGACAAGCAAAAGUAUCCGGAAUUGUAUGCAAUGGUGGUUAAACAUAUGAUGCACGGACCAUGCGGUGCUCUCAAUCCGAAGAAUGUUUGCAUGCAAGACAAUGAAUGCAAGUGCAGAUACCCUCGGCCGUUCAAUGAGAACACGGUACAAGGCAAGGACUCAUACCCAGUUUAUCGGUGUAGAGACGAUGGAAGACGUGCUAAGGUCUGA
This 540-nucleotide ribosomal RNA is filed under the name Triticum aestivum (bread wheat). Its description in RNAcentral is "partial small subunit ribosomal RNA". Lineage: Eukaryota; Viridiplantae; Streptophyta; Magnoliopsida; Poales; Poaceae. The record is from RNAcentral.